Small nuclear RNA from Lontra canadensis (Northern American river otter), 106 nucleotides. Lineage: Eukaryota; Metazoa; Chordata; Mammalia; Carnivora; Mustelidae. The record is from RefSeq and is a predicted model, not a curated record.
GUGCUCACUUUGACAGCAGAUAUACUAGAACUGGAACAAUACAGAGAAGAUUAGCAUGACCCUGCAUAAGGAUGACACACAAAAUACACAAGGACAAAGUGCUUUC